AUUGAACGCUGGCGGCAUGCCUUACACAUGCAAGUCGAACGGCAGCACGGGCUUCGGUCUGGUGGCGAGUGGCGAACGGGUGAGUAAUGUAUCGGAACGUACCAUUGAGUGGGGGAUAACGUAGCGAAAGUUACGCUAAUACCGCAUAUUCUCUCCGGAGGAAAGCAGGGGACCGCAAGGCCUUGCGCUCUUUGAGCGGCCGAUAUCAGAUUAGCUAGUUGGUGGGGUAAAAGCUCACCAAGGCGACGAUCUGGAGCGGGUCUGAGAGGAUGAUCCGCCACACUGGAACUGAGACACGGUCCAGACUCCUACGGGAGGCAGCAGUGGGGAAUUUUGGACAAUGGGGGCAACCCUGAUCCAGCCAUGCCGCGUGAGUGAAGAAGGCCUUCGGGUUGUAAAGCUCUUUCGGCCGGGAAAAAAUCGCAUGAGUUAAUACCUUGUGUGGAUGAUGGUACCGGAAUAAGAAGCACCGGCUAACUACGUGCCAGCCGCCGCCGUAA
This 500-nucleotide ribosomal RNA is filed under the name uncultured bacterium. RNAcentral describes it as "partial 16S ribosomal RNA". It matches the Rfam family "Bacterial small subunit ribosomal RNA", at positions 30 to 523 of the family's 1533-position model. The record is from RNAcentral.